RNAcentral lists this non-coding RNA (300 nucleotides) under Bos taurus (domestic cattle). Its description in RNAcentral is "Eukaryotic large subunit ribosomal RNA". It matches the Rfam family "Eukaryotic large subunit ribosomal RNA", at positions 24 to 329 of the family's 3401-position model. The record is from Rfam by way of RNAcentral. Lineage: Eukaryota; Metazoa; Chordata; Mammalia; Artiodactyla; Bovidae. RNAcentral also lists the same sequence under 3 other names.
CUCACAGAAUUUAAGCAUUUUAGUUAGUGGAGGAAAAUAAAACUUAACAAGGAUUCCCUCAGUAAUGGUGAGUGAACACAGAAGAAGCCAGCACUGACAUAGAAAAUGUGGCAAAUGGUAGACCUGCCUUCCAGUGCUGCUUGUAAGGGGCCCAAGUUCUUCUGACGGAGGCUCAGCCUGUGGAUGGCGUGAGGCCAGGAGCCACCCUUGCAGCACUGAGACUGGGUCUUCCCAGAGGUGAAUUGCUUGAGAAUGUGCCCAAAGUGGGCAGUAAACUCCAUGUAAUCUAAAUAUUGUUGU